AUACAGAGGUCCCGAGCGUUGUUCGGAUUCACUGGGUGUAAAGGGUGCGUAGGCGGCUUUGCAAGUCUGAUGUGAAAUCUCCGGGCCCAACCCGGAAAUGGCAUUAGAAACUGUGAGGCUGGAGGCUUGGAGGGGGAACUGGAAUGCUCGGUGUAGCAGUGAAAUGCGUAGAGAUCGAGCGGAACACCAGUGGCGAAGGCGAGUUCCUGGACAAGACCUGACGCUGAGGCACGAAAGCCAGGGGAGCAAACA
This 252-nucleotide ribosomal RNA is filed under the name uncultured prokaryote. RNAcentral describes it as "partial 16S ribosomal RNA". It matches the Rfam family "Bacterial small subunit ribosomal RNA", at positions 523 to 774 of the family's 1533-position model. The record is from RNAcentral.